This 483-nucleotide ribosomal RNA is filed under the name uncultured bacterium. RNAcentral describes it as "partial 16S ribosomal RNA". It matches the Rfam family "Bacterial small subunit ribosomal RNA", at positions 28 to 507 of the family's 1533-position model. The record is from RNAcentral.
GACGAACGCUGGCGGCGUGCUUAACACAUGCAAGUCGAACGCUGAAGCUCAGCUUUUGUUGGGUGGAUGAGUGGCGAACGGGUGAGUAACACGUGAGUAACCUGCCCCCUUCUUUGGGAUAACGCCCGGAAACGGGUGCUAAUACUUGAUAUUCACUGGUCUUCGCAUGGGGGUUGGUGGAAAGGGUUUUUCUGGUGGGGGAUGGGCUCGCGGCCUAUCAGCUUGUUGGUGGGGUGAUGGCCUACCAAGGCUUUGACGGGUAGCCGGCCUGAGAGGGUGACCGGUCACAUUGGGACUGCGAGACGGCCCAGAGUCGUACGGGAGGCAGCAGUGGGGAAAAUUGCGCAAUGGGCGCAAGGCUGAUGCAGCGACGCCGCGUGAGGGAUGGAGGCCUUCGGGUUGGGAACCUCUUUCGCUAAUGGUCAAGCCGCAACAAUGGUUGUGGUGAGGGUAGUGGGUAAAGAAGCGCCGGCUAACUACGUG